GCUACGGGAGGCUGCAGUGAGGAAUAUUGGUCAAUGGCCGAGAGGCUGAACCAGCCAAGUCGCGUGAGGGAAGACGGCCCUACGGGUUGUAAACCUCUUUUGUCGGGGAGCAAAGCGAACCACGUGUGGUUCAUUGAGAGUACCCGAAGAAAAAGCAUCGGCUAACUCCGUGCCAGCAGCCGCGGUAAUACGGAGGAUGCGAGCGUUAUCCGGAUUUAUUGGGUUUAAAGGGUGCGCAGGCGGAGGUGCAAGUCAGCGGUCAAAUUGCGGGGCUCAACCCCGUACUGCCGUUUAAACUGCAUCCCUUGAGUGCGCGAGAAGUAUGCGGAAUUCGUGGUGUAGCGGUGAAAUGCUUAGAUAUCACGAAGAACCCCGAUUGCGAAGGCAGCGUGCCGUGCCGCCACUGACGCUGAGGCACGAAAGCGCGGGGAUCGAACAGGAUUAGAUACCCCUGUAGUC
This 459-nucleotide ribosomal RNA is filed under the name uncultured bacterium. RNAcentral's name for it is "partial 16S ribosomal RNA". It matches the Rfam family "Bacterial small subunit ribosomal RNA", at positions 338 to 795 of the family's 1533-position model. The record is from RNAcentral.